AUUCUAGUUCUUAUACUCAAUCAUACACAUGACAUAUA
This 38-nucleotide small RNA is filed under the name Arabidopsis thaliana (thale cress). Its description in RNAcentral is "ATSL199490". The record is from RNAcentral. Lineage: Eukaryota; Viridiplantae; Streptophyta; Magnoliopsida; Brassicales; Brassicaceae.